UGCUAAACUGCAAGUCGAACGGUGAACACGGAGCUUGCUCUGUGGGAUCAGUGGCGAACGGGUGAGUAACACGUGAGCAACCUGCCCCUGACUCUGGGAUAAGCGCUGGAAACGGCGUCUAAUACUGGAUAUGUGACGUGACCGCAUGGUCUGCGUCUGGAAAGAAUUUCGGUUGGGGAUGGGCUCGCGGCCUAUCAGCUUGUUGGUGAGGUAAUGGCUCACCAAGGCGUCGACGGGUAGCCGGCCUGAGAGGGUGACCGGCCACACUGGGACUGAGACACGGCCCAGACUCCUACGGGAGGCAGCAGUGGGGAAUAUUGCACAAUGGGCGCAAGCCUGAUGCAGCAACGCCGCGUGAGGGACGACGGCCUUCGGGUUGUAAACCUCUUUUAGCAGGGAAGAAGCGAAAGUGACGGUACCUGCAGAAAAAGCGCCGGCUAACUACGUGCCAGCAGCCGCGGUAAUACGUAGGGCGCAAGCGUUAUCCGGAAUUAUUGGGCGUAAAGAGCUCGUAGGCGGUUUGUCGCGUCUGCUGUGAAAUCCGGAGGCUCAACCUCCGGCCUGCAGUGGGUACGGGCAGACUAGAGUGCGGUAGGGGAGAUUGGAAUUCCUGGUGUAGCGGUGGAAUGCGCAGAUAUCAGGAGGAACACCGAUGGCGAAGGCAGAUCUCUGGGCCGUAACUGACGCUGAGGAGCGAAAGGGUGGGGAGCAAACAGGCUUAGAUACCCUGGUAGUCCACCCCGUAAACGUUGGGAACUAGUUGUGGGGUCCAUUCCACGGAUUCCGUGACGCAGCUAACGCAUUAAGUUCCCCGCCUGGGGAGUACGGCCGCAAGGCUAAAACUCAAAGGAAUUGACGGGGACCCGCACAAGCGGCGGAGCAUGCGGAUUAAUUCGAUGCAACGCGAAGAACCUUACCAAGGCUUGACAUAUACGAGAACGGGCCAGAAAUGGUCAACUCUUUGGACACUCGUAAACAGGUGGUGCAUGGUUGUCGUCAGCUCGUGUCGUGAGAUGUUGGGU
RNAcentral lists this ribosomal RNA (1022 nucleotides) under Microbacterium sp. F109. RNAcentral describes it as "bacterial SSU rRNA". It matches the Rfam family "Bacterial small subunit ribosomal RNA", at positions 45 to 1080 of the family's 1533-position model. Lineage: Bacteria; Bacillati; Actinomycetota; Actinomycetes; Micrococcales; Microbacteriaceae. The record is from RNAcentral.